RNAcentral lists this ribosomal RNA (494 nucleotides) under uncultured bacterium. Its description in RNAcentral is "partial 16S ribosomal RNA". It matches the Rfam family "Bacterial small subunit ribosomal RNA", at positions 28 to 507 of the family's 1533-position model. The record is from RNAcentral.
GACGAACGCUGGCGGCGCGCUUAACACAUGCAAGUCGAACGGAAAGGCCUGCUUUCCCUUGUGGAUUGCGGGUACUCGAGUGGCGAACGGGUGAGUAACACGUGAGUGAUCUGCCCCCAACUUGGGUAUAAGCCUGGGAAACUGGGUCUAAUUCCCGAUAGGACUGCAGGGUGGUGCCUGUGGUGGAAAACGAUUUUCUAGUGGUUGGGGAUGAGCUCGCGGCCUAUCGGCUUGUUGGUGGGGUAAUGGCCUACCAAGGCGGCGACGGGUAGCCGGCCUGAGAGGGUGGACGGCCACAUUGGGACUGAGAUACGGCCCAGACUCCUACGGGAGGCAGCAGUGGGGAAUAUUACACAAUGGGCGGAAGCCUGAUGCAGCGACGCCGCGUGGGGGAUGACGGCCUUCGGGUUGUAAACUCCUUUCGACCGCGAGGAAGCCACCUGGUUGGAAGGGUGGUGACGGUAGUGGUAGAAGAAGCACCGGCUAACUACGUG